This is a non-coding RNA of Xyrichtys novacula (pearly razorfish), 525 nucleotides long. The record is from the annotation of a GenBank genome assembly. NCBI's taxonomy places the organism in Eukaryota, Metazoa, Chordata, Actinopteri, Labriformes, Labridae.
UUGAGAAACUGAACCAAAACUUCAAAGGAGCUAAAGGCCUCAAUAAAGCCAUCUAGUCUGCAGUAACACUAAAAGGGAUAUUCUGGUGUAAAAUCAAUUUAGGGUCAAACACACCGUAACACAGAGUUAGACUCCCCCUCAAGAGAUGAAUGUUGCCAACCGCUUGCUUCUCUAGUUAUACAAACUACACAGCGGUCUGAGGAGCCAUAAACAAUCCUCAACCAAAGCGCCACUCUAUAGCCAUUUCUUCAUGGAAAUGCAAUCAGACCGAGACGCUAAGACAGAAGAACUACCGUGUCUGCAGUGCAAAAUGAUUAAUAUGCUUAUUAUUACUUAAAGGAAAUGAUCAUAAAUGUUCCUCUUUGAGCUGCGGCACCCCGCAGCUGUUCAUAAUGGACUGGCCCGAGGUCUUGCUACAAACAAGCGGCUGCUGGAAGAGAGUUGGUGAGUUGUGUUUAGUGUCUUUGCUUAAGAAAUUAGGGAAAGUUAAAAAGAUGUUUGGUGGCUAGUACUGUGGCUGGGACC